AAGAUAUUUAGGUACGAAUGAUUGAAUUAGAAAAUUGGUAUUAGCUUUGUGGAUGGGCGAAUGGUGAGAUUGAUAGGAAGUUGCUUAGAAAAGAAAAUAAAGAAAAAAGAAAUGGGAGAAGGGGCAAAUGGCAAUUGUCAAAGUCAACUGAAACCAAUCAAAUGGACAGAAUUUAUUGUGAUUCGGGUUUGGCCAAUGUCCUCGUUCCUACAUGCGCGUUCUAUGAAUUCAAUGUUGUCAUGUUAUGGAGCAGAGAGAGAUUCCGAACGCGGUUUCGCUUUGGACGUUGCCAAUGGGCAGCUAUCAUCAUCAUCAUCCCUCUCAACACUCUUCCAUGGCCCACGUGUUCAUCAAAUGCAUAUAAAUUUAAAGACAUUCUGACAAAGGUUUCUGUG
RNAcentral lists this long non-coding RNA (395 nucleotides) under Vigna radiata. RNAcentral describes it as "long non-coding RNA (VRAD_LNC009179)". Lineage: Eukaryota; Viridiplantae; Streptophyta; Magnoliopsida; Fabales; Fabaceae. The record is from RNAcentral.